Molecule: long non-coding RNA, 820 nt
Organism: Hippocampus comes (tiger tail seahorse)
Lineage: Eukaryota; Metazoa; Chordata; Actinopteri; Syngnathiformes; Syngnathidae
Exons: 3
Source: RefSeq, a predicted model, not a curated record
UCAGCCACUUAACCUCCUAUAAUGAUCGGUCCAUUAACAUCAUCAAUGUAUUACGUCGAAAUCAACACUGAAACGUAAUCGCGCCGUCACUUUCUUAUAUCAAACCAAGAUGCAUUAAUUAUUAUUUGGCCUGUCACACAUAUAACGAGCAAAGGAUUCAUCGCGGAAAAUGUUCAUAGGCUAUGUGAAACCUUUAAAAAAGUACUAUGUAAAAGUCUCACUUUCGCACUUCAUUUUAUUUAACAGAGGCAACGGAUAAAUAGUUUUCAAGACAUACCUUCAAUCCAGUCCUGAGGCGCUGGUCGCUCCUUGCAGAGUGCUGGAAGGCUCUGCAGAGUUGUCUGGAGCAUGAUUGACAAAAGCGUGGGAACACACUCAGCAGCUCACAAAAGCAAUGCCACCGAAGACACUUUCCUUAGCAGAUAAAUGAAGGGAUGGUUUGACGCAAUAAACUCGUCUGACGCUGCUGAGUUUGAAGGAUGACGAAUUGGGAUUGAGUCUGUAUGCAUUGCCCACUUUGACCAACAGAGGGAAGAAUAAACCCCUCCCCAACACUGGUGGCAUGGAAGUGGUGGAAGAAAACGUCGAAGUACUUGUGAGUGCGCGUCGACUGCAUCUGUCAAGUUUUACUCAGAUUAUUGAAAAUUCGGUAUUGAUGUGAAUCAACAGAGGGGCUUUGCAUCUUAUUGGGAUUCAUGUUAGUAAUUGUGCUCCUAUCACAAGUGUUCCUUUUGGACUGUUUUGAAGGACAUUGAAAAACUAUGACCAACAAAAAUAAAUUUAGUCCACGCGCCUUUUACACAUACGGCUGGUUUGAUUC